UACUGAGAGCGUCCAGCACAGGGCACAGGACUGCGGGGAGCACAGGAGCCAUGGCCGGGUUCUCAGCGCUUCAUUUACUCUUUCUGUUCCAGCUGUUAACAUCGUCUCUCGCGCAGCAAAGGCCGGGUCCUCGGGGUGAAGCUGGAGCGCCGGGGCCGCCGGGGAAAGAUGGCAUUGACGGUAAACCUGGCCCUGCCGGACUUCCUGGAAAGCCUGGGCUGAAAGGUAAAGCAGGUAAAUCUGGGACCGCAGGAAGCCUGGGACUGCCUGGCCUCCCUGGUGUGGAUGUAAGUCACAAAGGAACAGUAGCAUUUUCAGUGCCACACACACACACACACGCAUGCACACACACACACACUCACACACACACACACACACACACACACACACUCACACACACACACACACACACACACACACACUCAGACACACGCACACACACACACGCACACACUCAGACACACUCACACACACACAC
Molecule: long non-coding RNA, 478 nt
Filed under: Sinocyclocheilus grahami
Lineage: Eukaryota; Metazoa; Chordata; Actinopteri; Cypriniformes; Cyprinidae
Description: lncRNA (ENSSGRG00000013711.1)
Source: RNAcentral